UCAAAAUACACGAAGAAAGAAUUGGCAGUUUGAAAAUACCUGUUUUGGGGUGCAGAAUAAAAUAUUCAUCAAACCUUACCUCCUGAUCUCCCAACAUCUAUUUAUGAAAACCUACCAUCAAGACUCUUAAGAUGACAACAAAAGUUCCCAGGAGAAAACUGCUCACUCUCAGAGUCCUCUGAAGAACUGGGAUGUGUGUACACCAAAAUU
Molecule: long non-coding RNA, 210 nt
Organism: Fukomys damarensis (Damara mole-rat)
Lineage: Eukaryota; Metazoa; Chordata; Mammalia; Rodentia; Bathyergidae
Exons: 3
Source: RefSeq, a predicted model, not a curated record